Molecule: ribosomal RNA, 480 nt
Filed under: uncultured Bacteroidota bacterium
Lineage: Bacteria; Pseudomonadati; Bacteroidota
Description: bacterial SSU rRNA
Source: RNAcentral
GAGUUUGAUCCUGGCUCAGGAUGAACGCUAGCGGCAGGCUUAAUACAUGCAAGUCGAGGGGCAGCAGCUUUAUAGCAAUAUAGAGGCUGGCGACCGGCAAACGGGUGCGGAACACGUACACAACCUUCCUUGAAUAGGGGGAUAGCCCAUAGAAAUGUGGAUUAAUACCCCGUAAUAUAGCGGUGUGGCAUCACACUGUUAUUAUAGUUUYGGCGAUUCGAGAUGGGUGUGCGGCUGAUUAGGUAGUUGGCGGGGUAAAGGCCCACCAAGCCUUCGAUCAGUAGCUGAUGUGAGAGCAUGAUCAGCCACACGGGCACUGAGACACGGGCCCGACUCCUACGGGAGGCAGCAGUAAGGAAUAUUGGUCAAUGGACGCAAGUYUGAACCAGCCAUGCCGCGUGAAGGAUGAAGGUCCUCUGGAUUGUAAACUUCUUUUAUAGGGGGCGAAAAAAGGUCUUUCUAGAUCACUGACAGUACCCU